This 253-nucleotide ribosomal RNA is filed under the name uncultured bacterium. RNAcentral describes it as "partial 16S ribosomal RNA". It matches the Rfam family "Bacterial small subunit ribosomal RNA", at positions 524 to 776 of the family's 1533-position model. The record is from RNAcentral.
GACGAACUGUGCAAACGUUAUUCGGAAUCACUGGGCUUAAAGGGUGCGUAGGCGGUCUUGUAAGUAGGGUGUGAAAGCCCCCGGCUCAACCGGGGAACUGCGUCCUAAACUGCGAGGCUAGAGUGAGGUAGGGGUGUGUGGAACUUCCAGUGGAGCGGUGAAAUGUGUUGAUAUUGGAAGGAACGCCGGUGGCGAAAGCGACGUGCUGGACCUCUUCUGACGCUGAGGCGCGAAAGCUAGGGGAGCAAACGGG